This 253-nucleotide ribosomal RNA is filed under the name uncultured bacterium. Its description in RNAcentral is "partial 16S ribosomal RNA". It matches the Rfam family "Bacterial small subunit ribosomal RNA", at positions 524 to 776 of the family's 1533-position model. The record is from RNAcentral.
GACGAACCGUGCGAACGUUGUUCGGAUUCACUGGGCGUAAAGGGCGCGUAGGCGGAUGGUCAAGUCGGGGGUGAAAUCUUUCAGCUUAACUGGAAAAGUGCCUCCGAUACUGAUCGUCUCGAGGGAGGUAGGGGCAUGUGGAACUUCCGGUGGAGCGGUGAAAUGCGUAGAUAUCGGAAGGAACGCCGGUGGCGAAAGCGACGUGCUGGACCUCUUCUGACGCUGAGGCGCGAAAGCUAGGGGAGCAAACGGG